CCUACGGGAGGCAGCAGUAAGGAAUAUUGGUCAAUGGACGCAAGUCUGAACCAGCCAUGCCGCGUGAAGGAUUAAGGUCCUCUGGAUUGUAAGCUUCUUUUAUCUGGGACGAAAAAGGCGAUUCUUCGUCACUUGACGGUACCAGAUGAAUAAGCACCGGCUAACUCCGUGCCAGCAGCCGCGGUAAUACGGAGGUGCAAGCGUUAUCCGGAUUCACUGGGUUUAAAGGGUGCGUAGGCGGGCAGGUAAGUCAGUGGUGAAAUCCUAGAGCUUAACUCUAGAACUGCCAUUGAUACUAUCUGUCUUGAAUAUUGUGGAGGUAAGCCGGAAUAUGUCC
RNAcentral lists this ribosomal RNA (337 nucleotides) under uncultured bacterium. RNAcentral describes it as "bacterial SSU rRNA". It matches the Rfam family "Bacterial small subunit ribosomal RNA", at positions 338 to 673 of the family's 1533-position model. The record is from RNAcentral.